This 480-nucleotide ribosomal RNA is filed under the name uncultured bacterium. RNAcentral describes it as "partial 16S ribosomal RNA". It matches the Rfam family "Bacterial small subunit ribosomal RNA", at positions 28 to 523 of the family's 1533-position model. The record is from RNAcentral.
GACGAACGCUGGCGGCGUGCUUAACACAUGCAAGUCGAACGAUGAAGUUCCUUCGGGAAUGGAUUAGUGGCGAACGGGUGAGGAACACGUGAGAAACCUGCCUUUCAUUUUGGGAUAACUCCGGGAAACCGGGGCUAAAACCGAAUACUCCGUCUCGGCGGCAUCGCUGAGCCGGGAAAAAAUUUUGAUGAAAGAUGGUAUGGCGGCCUAUCAGCUAGUUGGUUAGGUAAUGGCUCACCAAGGCAACGACGGGUAGCCGGCCUGAGAGGGCGACCGGCCACACUGGGACUGAGACACGGCCCAGACUCCUACGGGGGGCAGCAGUGGGGAAUAUUGGGCAAUGGGCGCAAGCCUGACCCAGCGACGCCGCGUGAGGGAUGAAGGCCUUCGGGUUGUAAACCUCUUUCAGUAGGGAAGAAGCGAAAGUGACGGUACCUAAAGAAGAAGCACCGGCUAACUAUGUGCCAGCAGCCGCCGUAA